AACAGGCCUUUACGUUCAUAAUUUUAUUCCUUGGAAUUCAACAAAACUCAAUAUUAUUGCUCAGGACAUCUCUGUCAAUCACGGUCUCGUUAACGAAAUAUGCAGAGUCUGGUGGGUCUGAUAGUUAUAUGAAGGAUCCUACAAGAAAAUCUUUCCAAACAACAUCUAGACUUGGCGGAACAUAGCCGGAGCACAAGAAACCUCAAUAACCCUUUCCAAAUGGCAGGACAAGACAUCCACUGCACGGCUUCUACUGUCCCUUCCACGGUGUCCUGGCGGGCAUUGGCGUGGAAGGCAGAAUUCUCACAGUCCUGUCGCAGGAGGCUCUUUCUCUGGGCCAAUGUCGCCGGCUAGGCAUAUCAACAUGUUCUCCAAGCCCGUGUUCUAAACGGGUGCUGUCAAUCGUUUACUCUCAUUCAUUCAUUCAUAGUAUAUCAUACUGGCUCGUGCGGUCUUGCUGCUUUCUACUCCCCCUUGUCGAGUGCAACCGUGUGUUCUAACUGCUGCGCAUGCGCCGUCAUUGCACAUGGCUAAAAUCGUACGGUUAAUGUCGCGCAAUCGCUUCUAGGCGGAUGUAUCAGGAAAUUGUCGUUGAUUUUGUCAUUGCCCCUUUACUUCUUGCGCCCCAGAUCGCCCUCAACAUCGCUCAGCUUUCGAACUCGGUUGAAGGGCUAUCUAUGUCAGCUCACUUGUCGAUACUAGU
This 703-nucleotide small RNA is filed under the name Histoplasma capsulatum var. duboisii H88. RNAcentral describes it as "Histoplasma capsulatum H88 hypothetical RNA". Lineage: Eukaryota; Fungi; Ascomycota; Eurotiomycetes; Onygenales; Ajellomycetaceae. The record is from RNAcentral.